UAUAUAGUUUGCUCAGCCCGCCUAAUUUUUUGGUCGAAAGUUAAACUUCCCACUUUUUCUUCCCACACAUAUUCGCACUGCAAUUUUGCUCGGCCCGCCUCUAUUUUUCAGUUGACCUCUCUCUCUCUCUUGCUGUGCAUCUCUUCCCACCGAGACCCUCUCAUCCUCUCAGCAACGUCGUCGCCGUCGUCUCUCCCCCAAACCCCCAACCUAGCUUCUGUCCCUAGACGCCUCCGACCCCCUUCACGAUAAAGUCGAAGGCUCGAACUCUUCACUCUUGGUUUGCUCUCUUCGACUCUUCCUCAAGUUGUGAUUCUGUGAAGCUCGGUGACUCAAGCUUGGAGAAAUUUGUGUUCGAUUUCUGGGUUCAAGUUCGGUGAUUCUUCAAGCUCAAUUUCUGGAAUCAUGGAAGCAUUGCUCCUGCCAAGAACUCCAGACUAUCACCUCUGCCUCCAGAACGUGCUAGUUUCAAUUAUGGUAUUGGUGAAACCGUUGAUAUACCUAUUGAUGGAAGUGGGGAUUUGAAAAAGAGGGAGAGGGAACUCCAAGCUAAAGAAGCUGAACUGAGAAAGUGUGAAGAGAUUGUAAAACGGAAAGAGGAUGCUGCAGCACGAGGUAUUAUGCCUUGCCUUUAUUUUGCUGAAAUAUCAGUAGUCUUCUCAUUGUUUGGGGUUAAAUGAAUAUGUUCAAAUGCCCAGGUAUCGAUCACCAAAUGCAAAUUCUGAAUGAAUCUUUACUUUAGAAUUAAUUAUCUGAGCAUAAUCUAGUUUAUAGAUCACUACUCUAAUUUUAUAAUCUAGUUUAAAGGAAGCUUUCUCUGCAAUCUGUAUGUUAACAAUAAGCAGCCAGCAGGGAGCUCGGUAAUUGGUGUUUGCACCUUUUCUGGCAUGUAAUUAACAUAUCAAUUGCAAAUGUUGUAUAUUACAAGAUGCAAUGCUACCAUGCUUUCUGGUGAUAUAAAUCUGUCAAUCAAUCAUAUCCACCUUGUCUAGCUUUUUGACUAAUUCAGGACGCUCUUACCUAAGCUAUUAGGUAAUCUGAUAUUAACAUUGCUGAAGUCUCUUGUGGAAAUGAAACUGAUUGGAAUUUGAGAAGUGAAUCGAUCAGACUUCCCUUAAUCAAAGAGUAAAAAGAGAUUGCUUCUGGCUCACAGUGACAUGUUGGAGUGGUAUGCUAAGCUUGUCCAGGGACUACUGACUUGAAGCCUUGAACUUAUAGUACAACCGAGCUUAUAGUAAAACCAUGCUAUUCAUGAUGCCCUUGAAGUAUUGUAGCAGCAAUUGCAUACAGGAGAGGCAUCAAGGCAUAGGGGAGUGACAGCGAAAGUAAAGGCUGUUGUUGAUGCAACUUUUGCUGGCAUCUUCAUUGUCAUCACAAAGUGUGUUCUUCAAGACUUGGUUGGUUUCAACAUUUUACUAAACUUUGUUAGAAAACUAGUUCUGUUGAUGUAAUGACUUUGUUGGAUAUAUGGAUGAAUGUAUCGGAUUUUAACAUAAAUGAAUGUGUUUUGGAUGUGAUGUCAUUUUGAAUGUC
Molecule: long non-coding RNA, 1533 nt
Organism: Rosa chinensis
Lineage: Eukaryota; Viridiplantae; Streptophyta; Magnoliopsida; Rosales; Rosaceae
Exons: 8
Source: RefSeq, a predicted model, not a curated record